Molecule: long non-coding RNA, 376 nt
Filed under: Homo sapiens (human)
Lineage: Eukaryota; Metazoa; Chordata; Mammalia; Primates; Hominidae
Description: long independently transcribed non-coding RNA 2281 (LINC02281)
Source: RNAcentral
CUCUCAAAAAAAAAAAAAAAACUGUUAGGUAUAUAUUACGGUAUAUAUAUUAAGGCAGACCUGGGUCGGUCUCAUACUGGAAUGCCUAUUAGCUGCAUGAGGGGAAACAGUAACCAGAAAGUAGAGGACUGGACAACAUCUGGACCAAGGGAUCAAAAUUAACAUCAAUAAGUCCUAGAAUCAGGCGUUUCUUUAAGAGGCCCUACUUCCUCUAAUUGGAUAAUUCUAGAAACCGGUAUUUGAAUCUGAGGUUUAACUAAAGAGAAUACCUUCUACUGAUGUAACAGCAAUGGUAAUUGGUAUAAAGGCAAAAGCAUGUGCAAAGGAGAAAUCACAACAAAGGCCACUUAUUGAAAUAAAACCUAUUAAAAAUGUA